This 1060-nucleotide unclassified non-coding RNA is filed under the name Hevea brasiliensis (rubber tree). The record is from RNAcentral. Lineage: Eukaryota; Viridiplantae; Streptophyta; Magnoliopsida; Malpighiales; Euphorbiaceae.
CAAAUGUGGGUACAGUCAGACCCACGGGCCCGCCUUUUAGCCAGCCUUCCCCUUUUGGGUCCAGACCACCUCCUGCGUCAUUGCCUUCUGCAGGAAGUGGUGUAGUUAUGGGCCCUUCCUCUGGGGCACCAUCUUAUGGAUCACUUGCACCACGCCUGGGUGCUCACCCAAGUCCAAUUGCAUCUUCCACUACACCUUCAUCUGUAACCCCUUCAGUCUCAUCAGGUGGUUUAGUCAGUAACGGGCCACAUGCACCACCUUUCCAUGGAGGGCCACGGUUUCCUCCAUCUGGCGCUGCCCCUCAACCCCCACUGAUGGGUCCUCCAACAGCUGGGGCAGCUCGGGUACUUCCUCAAGCACCAAGCAUGCGUCCCUUAAUGGGGAGUUCUGGGACCAGUGCUCAACAGCGAUCUCCAUUUUCAGCAGCACCACAAGGGGCACCAUCAUAUUCAGCACCACCGCAAGGGAUGCCAUCAUUUUCUGCACCACCUCAGGGGAUGUCACCACCAGCAGGUUUUCCUUUUGGGCAACAGACGCAAACCCAGCCAGUGGCUCCACCUCCAAUUCCUGGUUCUGCACCUCCUACAAUGUUUGGAAUGCCACCACCUCCACCACUACCAAAUCAAAUGACUGCUAUAUCUCCAGUUGUUGGACAAACAGGAGGUUCUUUGGCAGGAUCAUCAAAGAUUGAUCCCAAUCAAAUUCCACGACCCAUACCAGGUUCCUCUGUGAUCCUGCAUGAUACUCGCCAGGGCAAUCAAGCUAAUCCACCUCCGCCUGCUACAAGUGAUUACAUUGCUAGGGACACUGGGAAUUGCAGUCCACGCUACAUGAGGUGCACAAUCAAUCAGGUCCCAUGCACUGUUGAUCUUUUGACAACAUCUGGUAUGCAGCUGGCUUUGUUAGUCCAACCUUUGGCCCUUCCUCAUCCAUCUGAGGAGCCCAUUCAGCUUGUGGAUUUUGGAGAAAGUGGUCCUGUUCGCUGUUCUCGUUGCAAAGGCUACAUAAAUCCUUUCAUGAAGUUCAUUGAUCAAGGAAGGCGGUUCAUCUGUAAUUUGUG